This is a long non-coding RNA of Camellia sinensis, 528 nucleotides long. RefSeq lists it as uncharacterized. The record is from RefSeq and is a predicted model, not a curated record. NCBI's taxonomy places the organism in Eukaryota, Viridiplantae, Streptophyta, Magnoliopsida, Ericales, Theaceae.
AUACCCUCAAAACUCAUCCUCCAAUCUAUUGUCUACUAAUUCCCAAAAUCUUUUGCAACCAAUUACAUCUCUAUCUGUUUCUCUGAUCUUUCUUUCUUGUUUUUGUUUUUUGUUUUUCUUGUUUUGGGUUUGUGUUGCAGAGAUGAAUGAUCCAAAGUAUGCUUAUCCUUACCCUGCUCAAGGUUAUUAUCAAGGGCCCCCAGUGAUGGCACCACCUCAGUAUACUGCUCCACCACCACAAAGGAGCCAACCUGGUUUCCUUGAAGGAUGCCUUGCAGCAUUGUGUUGCUGUUGCCUCAUAGACGAGUGUUGCUGUGACCCCUCCAUAUUCUGUGUUUUCUAGGUUUCUAGGUGGUCCCCUGUUGUGGGUUUUAUUUUAUUUAUUUUAAUUAUUGUUAAAUAUUAUAAUUUUUUUUUUUGUUUUUGUUUUUGUCUUCUUGGUGGUUGUGAUGCUCAAAAUAAUUUAGUGGUUAUCAUUACAAAUUAGUUAUGGAAUUUAUUCUCUUUUUCGAACCUUCUUGGUUGUCA